GUAUACCGUACCCUGUUGCUUCGGCGGGCCCGCCUCACGGCCGCCGGGGGACCUCGCGUCCCCGGGCCCGCGCCCGCCGAAGACCCCAACACGAACACUGUCUGAAAAGUGCAGUCUGAGUCGAUUGUUACCAAUCAGUCAAAACUUUCAACAAUGGAUCUCUUGGUUCCGGCAUCGAUGAAGAACGCAGCGAAAUGCGAUAACUAAUGUGAAUUGCAGAAUUCAGUGAAUCAUCGAGUCUUUGAACGCACAUUGCGCCCCCUGGUAUUCCGGGGGGCAUGCCUGUCCGAGCGUCAUUGCUGCCCUCAAGCACGGCUUGUGUGUUGGGCCCCGUCCCCGGUACCCCCGGGGACGGGCCCGAAAGGCAGCGGCGGCACCGCGUCCGGUCCUCGAGCGUAUGGGGCUUUGUCACCCGCUCUGCAGGCCCGGCCGGCGCCAGCCGACCAACCCAACCAUUUUUUACAGGUGACCUCG
RNAcentral lists this unclassified non-coding RNA (474 nucleotides) under Aspergillus sp. 3 JS-2017. RNAcentral's name for it is "sequence contains ITS1, 5.8S rRNA gene and ITS2". The stretch from base 143 to 296 matches the Rfam family "5.8S ribosomal RNA". The record is from RNAcentral. Lineage: Eukaryota; Fungi; Ascomycota; Eurotiomycetes; Eurotiales; Aspergillaceae.